This 218-nucleotide ribosomal RNA is filed under the name uncultured bacterium. RNAcentral's name for it is "partial 16S ribosomal RNA". It matches the Rfam family "Bacterial small subunit ribosomal RNA", at positions 114 to 335 of the family's 1533-position model. The record is from RNAcentral.
UGCAUCGGAACGUGCCCAGUAGUGGGGGAUAGCCCGGCGAAAGCCGGAUUAAUACCGCAUACGUACUGAGGUAGAAAGCGGGGGACCGAAAGGCCUCGCGCUAUUGGAGCGGCCGAUGUCGGAUUAGCUUGUUGGUGGGGUAACGGCCUACCAAGGCGACGAUCCGUAACUGGUCUGAGAGGACGACCAGUCACACUGGGACUGAGACACGGCCCAGA